This 253-nucleotide ribosomal RNA is filed under the name uncultured bacterium. RNAcentral's name for it is "partial 16S ribosomal RNA". It matches the Rfam family "Bacterial small subunit ribosomal RNA", at positions 524 to 776 of the family's 1533-position model. The record is from RNAcentral.
GACAGAGGGUGCAAACGUUGCUCGGAAUUACUGGGCGUAAAGCGCGUGUAGGUGGCCACGCAAGUCAGGUGUGAAAGCCCUGGGCUCAACCCAGGAAGUGCACAUGAUACUACGUGGCUGGAGUACUGAAGAGGAGAGCGGAAUUCCCGGUGUAGAGGUGAAAUUCGUAGAUAUCGGGAGGAACACCAGUGGCGAAGGCGGCUCUCUGGGCAGAUACUGACACUGAGACGCGAAAGCGUGGGUAGCAAACAGG